This is a long non-coding RNA of Carassius auratus (goldfish), 447 nucleotides long. RefSeq lists it as uncharacterized. The transcript is spliced from 4 exons. Lineage: Eukaryota; Metazoa; Chordata; Actinopteri; Cypriniformes; Cyprinidae. The record is from RefSeq and is a predicted model, not a curated record.
CGGAAGUGACGUGUGUUCAGGAGCAGUGGCGUUUCCGCUCAUUGCAGGAAAGAUGGCUAGUGUGUUUAUGCGCGUUUGUUUGUGAGUGAUAAAUGUCAAUAUAUCUGUUAUAUCUGGAUAAGUCUAGAGAGCUGUUUGAGUGACUAAGGUGAAGCGCACCGUCUGCAGUCAUGGGCCGGCGCUCCACCUCCUCCACCAAGAGUGGGAAGUUCAUGAAUCCCACCGAUCAGGCCAGGAAGGAGGCCCGCAAGAGAGAGCUGAAGAAGAACAAGAAGCAGAGGAUGAUGGUUCGAGCAGCAGUGCUGAAGAUGAAGGACCCACGUCAGAUCAUCAAAGAUAUGGAGAAACUUGAUGAGAUGGGUGUGUGUGAGAGAGAGAGAGUGAGAGUGUGUGUGUGAGAGAGAGAGAGUGAGAGUGUGUGUGUGAGAGAGAGAGAGUGUGUGUGUG